CUAAUAAGCGAGAAUGGGCGCGAACUCAACGAUCUGAGACAAGAGGUAUCGUCACUUAAACGCCAGCUGGAUGGUGCAGUGGAUAGCAUAAGGCGACUUGAGAGAAGAAUGGAAUCUUCAGAGCACAAUUUAGCGCUCAGGAACGUUGUUCUCUCAGACAUCGAGGAAUAUGUCCGACAGCAGCAAGUUUCCACGUACGACGGGACACUGCUUUGGAAAAUAUCGGAUUACGCUCGCCGAAGAAACGAUGCCAUCAGCGGAAACCAGACGUCUAUUUAUAGCCCGUGUUUUUACACCAGUCGCCACGGGUACAAAAUGUGCGCCCGUCUGUAUUUGAAUGGGGACGGCAUGGGCAAAGGAACACACUUGUCGCUGUUUUUUGUCGUCAUGCGCGGCGAGUUUGACGCGUUACUCCGCUGGCCAUUCAGACAGAAGGUCACCAUGAUGUUGUUGGAUCAAGACAAUGUGGAGCAUGUGAUCGAUGCGUUCAGACCCGAUCCAACCAGCUCGUCUUUCCAAAGGCCCAGGCGGGAGACAAACAUUGCAAGCGGGUGCCCCUUGUUUUGCCCACUGUCAGAGUUGAAUAAUCACGCCUACGUACGAGACGACACCAUGUUCUUAAAGAUUAUAGUGGAUACUCUGGAUCUCUAAACAUAUAACUAAGACAACCUUGUAAGUUACAGUUAGAGAAUCGGGGGAAUAAGUUUCGUAUUUGCGGUCAAUACCGUAAAGCUUUUAAUCACUUAUCAAAGAACAGCGCUAUAAGUGCGAGCAAUCUACACUACUUCAGAAGUCCAUUAGUACCUUUGAGAAGAACAUUGCCAGCGAGCUCAGUCCGGUCUCGACAGCCAGAAUUUUCCAUCAACCGAUACUUUCUCCCCCGACUUUAGAAGCAGACAAUAGUGUCAAAAUCUCGAAAAGAAAGUUAGCCUUUGAACAAGCUCCCGAUUGGGUUACAGGGCAAAAAAGACUAUGGCGAGCGGAGCUUGUUGACUUGCUUCGCUCGCCGAAUUUUUUACACCUCGCAUGGAGCCUGUUAACAAGCUAGAGGAAUCUGAUCUGACUCGUCCUCAGACGUCCACUAAAAGGUGACUAGGGUCGAAUCAGAAUAACUAUUUAUCUAACUGAUUAUAAGAGCGGUUUUCAAUUGAGUGUUUAUAAGUGACCACAACCAAAGUAAUCACGGGCAAAUCAGGGAGAAUACUGACAAUCCAGUAAACCAAUCAAGACUCGAAUCACAUACAUGUGGCUGACGCAAGACGCGGCAAAACGUGUAUGAGCAAGUCGCGAGUGGUUUAACUUUUGGUUUCAAGUCCGACUGGAUGAGAAAGUGGUAGGAUAUUUUUAAGCCAAUCGCAAAGCGUAUUAAUGUAACCAAAGCUAAUGAGGAUUACUUUUGACACUGAAGUGAAAAGCGCUCUUUAAUUAACUCAGUGUUCUUUUAAAGGUCAAAUGAACCAAAAUUUAGACACUUUUUCCAUUUGAGUUCAGUGUGUUCAUUAAGUAUAAAAUAAACAUAUUCUGAAGUUUCAAACGAAUUGGAAGAAGCAUUGCGGAAAUAUUGGAAAGUUAACAUCAUUGUUUUUUAUCCUUCAUAAUCGUAGAGCGGUCGGGAAAAUUGUCGAACAAUUGUCGGAAAUAAAACUUGUGACGUCACUGUUGGUGAGCUCAAGAAAUGCGGGAAAUUUGAAACUGCUUUGGUUUCAAGUUCUCAGUGAACUUCAAAGGAAAACCACUCAAAAUCAAAGAAACAAGAGGGUAAUUUAUUGCCUGAAUUGGGAUAAAGAAGACAUCACGAGAAGUACCCAUGACUAAAGCAGUGGUAGAUUCUCUAACAGCUCUUGCACCUGUAGGUCAACAUGUCAGUGAAGUUGCACAUGAGCAUGUGCCGGCAUUGAGGCAGUGGCUAGCAACCAAAGGGAUCAGAAACUCAUAUGACAGCUGGCAUGGGUGUCAAGAAGGCCAUCAAAAAGGUUGCCAGUAGGCUUGUUAGGGACUCAGAGAGGUCUUGGCUUGCAGAGUUGUCAGACAAAGGUAAUUUUCCAUUUGAGGAGACAUGCCUGUGCAGAAAGUUAUUUACAUAAAGUUUACUUGUGAUGUGGCCUGUCUGUAUUUUAUUAUCAUCCACUGGAUCCUGAGUAACUUUUGUGGUGAAAAUCUUAUGCAUUAUACCGUUGUUAGUUGAAGUUAAAAAAGCGUUCUAAGAAUGAAUUCCGUUGUUUUGACAGUGAAGUGCACCAAGACGCAUAUUUAUUAUGCAAUGAAGAAUUGUAAUGGUGAUGCAGACAAGCUGAAACGAUACAUAGUAAACAUUGUAGACCAUUACCAGGUAAAAGGGUUCACGAGGUACAUGUACCUUUGAAUUGUGAUCCUAAUUUUGUGACCAGAAGAGAUUUAUUCCCAGGGUACAAGUAGCUAUGAGUGGUUAGUGGCUGUUGAGACGAUAUUUUUUAUUUCCCUCACCCCACAGGUGAUCGAGCCCUUUGCACCUCAUCAUUAUCAAGGUUGUACAAGCUACUGAAUCGGAACCUCUAGCUCUACACAGUAAACAUUGUUCGUAUGGUCGAAAGGUUGUUUAAUUCAUUUUAUCUGUGUGGCACAGGGGGAUCACUCCAAUUGCCAUCAGGAGUCUCGAUGUCAUCAGCAAGCCUAUGAAUGCAGCAAAAACUGACCCCUUGUUACUGCACAGGCUAUUGCAGCAUACCGGAAGGCUGUAGUGGGGACCAACCCCUAAAAAUUCGCUGAAGAUUAUGCCUUGGUAGUACCGGGAUUCAUACAUCAAUACCUAUUGAGUGGAAUUGUAUCUUUACUCCACAGAUCUGCAAAUAACCACUUUAUUUCAUACAGUAUGUGGAAAGUCAACGAGUGGGCAGUAACAUUCCUCCCACCAAACAAACGAACGCUUGCACUACUCACUGCACAUAGUAAUGUUUAUUAAUUUAUGAACAUGAAGCGCUUCCAUUUCAGUCGUAAAGACACCAAUGAAAUGAGAAUGCAGCUUACGGUACUAGACUGGGGAUGUACCACAAUACUUUUAUUAGUAUUACAUGUAUCUUCACAAAAAGUGGCAGUACCUCAGUUACAAGAAUUUACAUCAAGUACACUCCCUUGUUUGAACCUGUUAUUAGUACUGA
This 3134-nucleotide unclassified non-coding RNA is filed under the name Orbicella faveolata. RNAcentral describes it as "uncharacterized LOC110040411, transcript variant X6". The record is from RNAcentral. Lineage: Eukaryota; Metazoa; Cnidaria; Anthozoa; Scleractinia; Merulinidae.